Molecule: long non-coding RNA, 353 nt
Organism: Lotus japonicus
Lineage: Eukaryota; Viridiplantae; Streptophyta; Magnoliopsida; Fabales; Fabaceae
Exons: 2
Source: RefSeq, a predicted model, not a curated record
AUUUAGUGUUUAUUCUUUGGCUUUUGUAGUGCCCUCGUCAGACUAAUAAUGUUGAUUGCGGAUAUUAUGUGAUGAAGUUCAUGAAAGAUAUCAUCACUCACCAACAACUUGUGAUUCCAACGAAAUAUUUUGAAGAUUGUCAGUUCGUUUCCUACAAUGAAGAGCAAUUGCGUGAAGUUAAAGAUGAGUGGGCUGCUUAUGUUUUUUACAAUUGUUUUUAGUAUUUAAUCUAUUGGAUAGUUAUCUAUGAGAUGGUGGUAGAUGAAGUUAAGGACGUGGUUGAGAUAUUAUGCACUUUAGAAAUUGCUUCGAAUUUAUGAAGCUUUUGAUAUUUAGAUAUAUUGGUUUUGAUA